This is a long non-coding RNA of Carassius auratus (goldfish), 409 nucleotides long. RefSeq lists it as uncharacterized. The transcript is spliced from 5 exons. The record is from RefSeq and is a predicted model, not a curated record. NCBI's taxonomy places the organism in Eukaryota, Metazoa, Chordata, Actinopteri, Cypriniformes, Cyprinidae.
CACUGAUGAAAGUGAAAACAUUUUAAUGUGUACAGACAUAUCUCACUCGUAUGCGUUCUUCUUUUUUGUCUACAGCAGCUACAUACACCACAACGGCUCUUUUAAGAGCCACAUCUUGAGAACAUCUUUGACUUUCUGUUCCAGUGAGCUUGUCCAAUGAAAAUGAGCAAGAAGAUGCUUGGGGUGAACACCCAUCUAACUUUCAAGAGAACACAAUCUCUGAACAGAGUUCCUCAAGUACCCACCAGCCAAGAACAAAUAUUUUUGCCUGUUGACAGCAUCGUUGCUCAAAAAGUGCUUCUGGUGUGAGACGAUGGAGCUGCAUCACUAAUCAAUGUACACCUGUUGAGAGGACAAUUCUGGAGGCACUUAAUGAACUGGACAUGAAGAUCAAUCAUCUGACUUCAGU